Molecule: long non-coding RNA, 631 nt
Organism: Hevea brasiliensis (rubber tree)
Lineage: Eukaryota; Viridiplantae; Streptophyta; Magnoliopsida; Malpighiales; Euphorbiaceae
Exons: 2
Source: RefSeq, a predicted model, not a curated record
CCUUACCAGGCUCAAAAGUCCCUUUAUCAAGCUCAAAAGUUCCUUUAAUAAUAGGGUAUCAGUAAGUGGGAGUGGGGGACAGAAAUGCUUUCAGGCAAACAUGCGCAGAGAUAAAGCAAGCAUAACGAACGAGGCACAUGAAUUCUCAGUGCCGUGAUGAAGAAUUUGUCGACAAGCUUAAGCUCAAGUUUUGAUCUUAAAAAGCCUUCAUGGGAAGUAUUUAUCAGAAGUAACAUACUGAUACAUGAAAAUCAACUGGUAACCAUGACAUUAAACUUUCGCCUUUUUAUAUAUGCAUUCAGGAUUGUGAAGGAUGAAGAACUUGUCCAGAAGCUCAUAGUCAAGUUCUGCUAUCCCAACAUGCCAGUUGCGUCCUCUGUAAAUGCUUGCACGUUUGGAUGUGUACAAGAAAAGCAUUCUUUCUAAACCACAGGUGGGGAAGACAUGACAAGAGAGGAAGACAUGACAGGAGAAUACAGAGGGUCCAGAUGGAGGUGGCAGGGGAAAUUGGCUGGUUGUGCAAUGAAGCUGAAUGAAGCAGACAAUGAUUUCAAGCAGAGGGAUAUCUGUAAUUUUCAAGGGAAAAUCUGCUGUUCAAUGGUGGUUUUGGUAAGAGAAUCCUUUUCAUCUA